Pygoscelis adeliae (Adelie penguin) is the source of this 884-nucleotide long non-coding RNA. RefSeq lists it as uncharacterized. The transcript has 2 exons. The record is from RefSeq and is a predicted model, not a curated record. NCBI's taxonomy places the organism in Eukaryota, Metazoa, Chordata, Aves, Sphenisciformes, Spheniscidae.
AGAGGGCUGGAAAAGAACAACUGGGCGGGAGGGAAGCGCGGCCGUGCGGUGCUGCUUUCAAGCGAGUUCUGAGCAGCAGCAGCUCAAACCAACGUCUGCGUGCUGCCGACGCAGCAGGUUUCCCUGUACCUUCUCCCGUGUUAGGCGCUAGGCGUGGCCAACUGCUGAAUGAGGCGUCAGCAGAGCAAUUUCGAGUCCUAACACGGCAGCUGUAGAUGCAGAUCUGAAAAUAAACCUCCACCUGUGGAUUGCAGCUCAAAUCUACAGCUUCCAGAGUGCUCGUAGACAAGUGGGUAGCAACAGCAAGAGGGGUCUCGUUAGACAUAACGGCUCUCAAGUAAAAGGCAGAGGAGUCGCAUCAGCAGUGCUGACCUUUCUUGACUUCCAGAAUUCCAGAGCAGAUCAGUGCUUUAAGAAUUGUAGUUGCUCUUUCUACUAAAAUAUUUUUUUCUGCUAAGAUACGCAGAAAGUAAAAGUAAAGUCAACAAAAAGAGACAUGCAUCACAUGUUUCCCUUCACGCUUUUCUUUCCUCACUUUGAAUGCCUUAAUAAAAUGUCAUUAAUGAUCAAGGCAUGCUAGCAGCAAAGGCCCCAGCCGUGAUUAGAACCCGUUUCUGUUUGGUUUUUAUACAAAAUUCCUUUCUAAAAAGUGUGGAGGCCGAACUGUUCUUAAGCACUGACCUUAACAAUAGCAUAAAUUAUUAUGAGUUUUCCAAUUAUUACUUUGUCGUAUGUGGAACAUCAUAUUCCACAGCUUAUCAUUCUGGCCCGAGAAGAACAUCCAGGAUCCUGUCAUAUACCCUUGCCGCAACUCAACUGGAGUAGUUGGGUCAUUGUAAAGUUGAGCACUGUUUUCUCAAUUAAUACAAAGUACAUUCGUCCUU